UACAGGGGGGGCAAGCGUUGUUCGGAAUUACUGGGCGUAAAGGGCCAGUAGGCGGCCAACUAAGUCACACGUGAAAUCCCCCGGCUUAACCUGGGAACUGCGUCUGAUACUGGACGGCUUGAGUAUGGGAGAGGGAUGUAGAAUUCCAGGUGUAGCGGUGAAAUGCGUAGAUAUCUGGAGGAAUACCGGUGGCGAAGGCGGCAUCCUGGACCAUUACUGACGCUGAGGCGCGAAAGCUAGGGGAGCAAACGGG
This 253-nucleotide ribosomal RNA is filed under the name uncultured bacterium. RNAcentral describes it as "partial 16S ribosomal RNA". It matches the Rfam family "Bacterial small subunit ribosomal RNA", at positions 524 to 776 of the family's 1533-position model. The record is from RNAcentral.